GACGGUGGAUGCGAGCGGGGAAGAGGAAAAGAUUAGUAAGACUCUCUGGAGGCCAGACUGGAGCACGCCGCUACAAACCAGCAGUUACCCAGCUGUCCCUGAUGUAGAUCGUGUGCGCUGAUGCCAUCUACAAACAGCAUUGAUUGGUGGAGUCUGAGUGGCGGCGAGGGCUCCCUGUGGUGGCCUCCCGUACAGGGAUUGGCUCAGGUGGAAGAGUAAUAGAGUAUCGAUCCCUGCUCGGUUCUGCAGACAUUGAAGUAAUGUGAAUAUUGUGGCUGAGCACAGCUAAUCAUUUACCCGGCUACUGAGAACCUUUCAACCAGCUUCAUAGUUCUCCUCAACACCAUCCAUCAGCUUGUGAGAUGAAUCAUCAGACACACAUUCAAACACAGAGCAAAGCACACAACCAGCCACAAGCACAAAAAGACAGAGUACAAAAAUCCAGGGUACGAAUCCAAAGAUCCUUGUAGGGAGUGGAGUUCUCUUAUACACAUACAUUCAGUUUUCCUCAUCAAAAUGCAUUGUGUGUAUCCUUGAGGCCUCACAGACCUGUUGAGAGCAUUUCCUUCCUCAUCAAAAAUUCGCAAGGAGCGCCCUGGUAGCCUUGGUUUGAUUGUGGCCGGGACCUUUGUUGCAUGUCAUAUCAACCUCUCUCCCAUUGUUUCCUG
This is a long non-coding RNA of Thunnus maccoyii (southern bluefin tuna), 668 nucleotides long. RefSeq lists it as uncharacterized. NCBI's taxonomy places the organism in Eukaryota, Metazoa, Chordata, Actinopteri, Scombriformes, Scombridae. The transcript is spliced from 3 exons. The record is from RefSeq and is a predicted model, not a curated record.